Podarcis lilfordi (Lilford's wall lizard) is the source of this 10319-nucleotide non-coding RNA. The record is from the annotation of a GenBank genome assembly. Lineage: Eukaryota; Metazoa; Chordata; Lepidosauria; Squamata; Lacertidae.
CGUAUUUGCUUGAUAUUUUUUUUAACGGUUAGUGUCCUACUCAUCAUUUAUUUGUUAGUACAUUUUUAUCCCCCUGUUACACCAAAGAGCUAAAGAUGGCAUGCACGGUUCUUCUGCUCUGCGUUUUAUCCUCAUAGCAGCCCUGGUGACUUUGAAUGACUGAGCCAAGGUCACUCAGUGACUUACAUGGCUGAAGAGAUCUUUGUCUCUCCUAGACUCGGCAUCAUUAGACAGAUUUUGUUUGACUCCCACUUUCCACUAGGCCCAGCCAGUAUGAGUUGCAGUCCAACACGGGUUUGGGCAUAAUGUUCAACUUUAAUGUAGGGGCCACAGGUUUCCCUAUCCUGUACUACAGAGAUUUUAUUGAUUUAUAGAAACAAUUUAAAACUACCUUUUGCACCCGGUGGUUCACAACAAUAAAAAUACAACCCUCAUGCGGUGAAAACUGAGAACCAUAAAAUCACUUUAAAAAUAAACAAACAAAACCCAGCAAUGUUGACAUACAGUUAAGGACCAUUAAAAGCUUGGGGGGGGGGGGAAAUAGUCUUGACUGUUCACCCAAAAACAGAGGGGCCAGUUGAACACCUCUUGAGAGGAUACUACCACAGAGAAGGCCCUAUUUUAUACUCAUGUUACCUUUGGCACCAGAACACAGAGCAGAGCCUGGAAUUUCCUUUCAGACUUUCACAGCACCCCAUGGUAUGAAAACUAUAAAGAAAACAAAACUCAAAUCAUUUAACACAAUAAAUAUAUAAGAGCAGCAUAGUCAAGGAGAAUAACAGAAAGCUCCAUUAAUGAAAGACCCUUAUAAAUUACAUUAAUGUUGAACAUUAUGCCCCAAAGUGGAGGAGGGAGAGAAGGAGGCACAGUGGUUGUGCAUACUGCCUUUACCCCAACACUGCCAUGUGCACUUGUCCCAUAUGCUCUGCCCCCAAUGAGUGUUGAUCAUGCAUGCAAGCUUUUUUGUAACAUCUACACAUUGUCAGCUUCAAAAUGCCAGCCUGUAUUCCCCCCCGCCCUCAUUUAAUCCAGAUUUACCCUUUCAAGGGAAAAUCUGAUGAGUCAUAAAAGACUUGUUGCCAAUGACACAUUUUCAAUAUCUGGAUGUGCAUUGGGAAUGUUAAGCUCCUGCUUAGAAGCACCCAGAGUAAUGUUAAAACGUCAUGGUACAUUAAAACAAAACAUUAACAUCUCUUCUACCUUCUAUGGUUUACUUUGCUGGGGCUGCUUCUUGCCUUUCGGACGAUAAAAAAAUAUACUUCCCCAAAUCUUUAUGCUCUUGAAUCAUUUUGAUCUAUUCCUCUUUCUAAUGUACAGAAGGCCCUUUUGAAUGCAGCUACUUCCAAGAAUCUGUUUAUGUGGGCCACUUCCAAGAAUCUGUUUAUGUGGGCCACUUUGUUUUUUAAAAGAUGCAGAUAAAAUUGUGUUUGGUGUUGUUAAGCAGCCUGCUGCAGGGCAAGUGGCUGAACUACAUGAGCUGUGGGAGUUCCAUCCUAGAAUGUGAUACCUGAACUGAAGCUGGUUUUCUAUAAGGAGGACAAGGGGAAAAUAAUAAUCAGCUGGGCCAGUACUGGGAAAAUGGCCAGGCAAGCAUUGCCUAGGGGUAAGUAGCCAAUCCAGGCAGUGCUGAAUUAUAUCACUGUACUAUUAAUGCAACUCUGCAGGUUCUUUGUUAUCUCCUCUUCUAGAUCACUCAUAUUCAUUUAGCUUGUAUCCCAGUGGUUCAAAAACUGCUUUCCAAUUAUGGCACCAGAUAAUAGCACACAGUUCUCAAUGCAGCCCAUUCAGCUUUUUUCAUUCCUAUGAACUAUGCCAGGUGAAUUUCAGACAAUAUAUGGGGGUAGAAUAAAUACACAUUUAUAUGUUUAAAAAACUUAUAUCCCAAUUUCACCACAUGUCUCAAAGUGGCUUAAAAAAGUUAAAGGACCCCUGACAGUAAAGUCCAGUCGCAGACGACUCUGGGGUUGCGGUGCUCAUCUCGCUUUACAAGGCAAAGGAGCCGGCGUUUUUCUGGGUCAUGUGGCCAGCAUGACUAAGCCGCUUCUGGUGCAACGGAACACCGAAACCAGAGCAGCACACGAAAUGCCAUUUACCUUCCCGCUGGAGCGGUACCUGUUUAUCUACUUGCACUUUUUGGUGUGCUUUCGAACUGCUAGGUUGGCAGGAGCUGGGACCAAGCAACGGGAGCUCACUCCGUCAUGGGGAUUCGAACCACCAACCUUCUGACUGGCAAGCCCAAGAGGCUCAGUGGUUUAGACCACAGCGCCUUCGUCCUCCAAAGUGGCUUACAGAAACAAUAAAAAUAAAAAUUACAGAAUUAAAUGCACAAAUUAAAACAUAAGAGAAAAGAGCAUUCAAACAGCAUUCAUGGCCCAAAGGGUUUCUGAAAUAAAAAUGUUUUGACCUGGUGCCUAAAACUUGGGAAGGAUGGUGCCUAGAACUUGAUAUCUAAUGGUUUUUAAAACAAUCUCAUAACUAUCCAGGGGUUUUAAAGAGAACAGGUUUCAGGUUUCUUUUCUAACAGCAAAGGGAGCACACUAGACCUGACCCAUAAAGUGAAAAAAGGCUUCAGGUGAAAGGGAGGAAAUGGUGAGGUCAGAGAAAACUAAUUUUCUUACAUCUGAUCAUCAUACAAUAUAUUGUCUCCCUCCCAGCAGUCAGAACGCCUGGAUUUUCUGUCAUUUGAUAGCAGUAAGGAGAAUUGGAUGACUUCAUUUCUAUAGCACACAUCUGGCCUAGGAAGGAAAUACACAGAUAAAUAACCCAUGGAAUUAAUUUGUUCUCCCAUUUUACUCUUUCUCACUCUUCUCUGCCUGAUACUCAGCAAAAUUGUUGCUUUCCUGACUGGUUAUCCAACCAGAAACAUAUACACACACACUUGUGUGUAUUCACCUUCUGUAGCUAUUAAAGAUCCCACAAGCUUGCCCCAGGCGGCUGAUUGUAUAAUUUGUCAGAUGAAUGGCACCAACUCUCUUAAGGGCAGUGCACUCGCCUAUCUGCCAUGGAUGGCAAUAAAUCUCUCCCAGCAUCAUCAGUCCUCAGGUGGACUUCAUCGGAUGUAGACAUCUUAUCAGCUGAGCACAGCCUCUCCUAAUGGUGUGAUAAAUAUUCCAGCCUCCGAGUAUCACUAUCAAGAGAUUUAAAUCAGACCUAGUACUUAUUGCUGCUAUUACUACAGAGUUAAUGCCAAUGACUCUUUCACUUAUCUCUUUAACCAGAGAUGGUGAAUAGCCUUUUUAUGUCUCCACUCCUGGUCACUGAAAGCAAAAUUCAUACAGAAAUGGCCUCCUCAUGAGCUCAGUGCUGAAAUUUCUCAGGUGGGAUGCAAAGAGUAGUUUAUACCAUUUUUAGAUGCGAGUUUCCACGAUGAGACCAUUUCUAAAAAUAAAAAUAGCGUCUUUUUUCAGACUAUCAGGACUAAACAACGAGAGCAAACUAUCACAUGCACCAACAGUAAUUAGGUAAGUAAGUAAAUCUUUUUCAGUCUGCAAAGUAUUUUGCAGUGAAAAAAAAUGCUUCUUGUAUUAUCCCUCUAACAUAGGUCAUUAACAUAAAUUCCUUAUGGGGGGAAAAUCAAGAUAUUGUGUUGCAAUGAAUGAUCUAUAGUAAUGCUGAAAAGAGAAUGUGUAAGAACCAAACUAGAUAUGAAGUUUAUCACCUACUUGGCAGUGCAUACCUGCUUUUUUAAUUCAAUAGCAAGCGUGGGGAAGGGACAUGGAGUAGAGGUACUGGGCAGGGGACUUCAACCCUUUUGUCGCUCUUGCAGUCCUGAUUGGAAUUGUCCCACCCCGGCCUUGCUAUUUACAAUGGGAGGAAAGCUCAGAGGUAAGUGGGGACAAUUCCAAUCAGGUCCAAGGCAAGGACAAAUCUAAGGUUCAUUCUUUAUCACCAGCCCUGCAUUUUCCACAGCUCUUUACGUUUUCUGCUCUGAGCUCCUGUUCUAAAAACCAGGAAUAGCUUGUCUAACUCUUCCAGCACACACACACACACCACUUCCAUUACGUCUGUAGCAUCUGAUUUUAAUCACAGACACUUUGUGCACUUCCAGUUUUAGAAAUGGUUUUAUUUUAUUAUUUUUCACACUUACAAAUGACAUAAUGGAACUUUAACCUGCUUAUAAUAUGGUUGAAAAACUGCUCAGUUGUACAUCUCUAAGAACUUGCAAGACUCCAGCUAAAAGUACAGAGAACAUAAAGGACAAUGAGCUGAUUUAGUUGAGUUACCAUUCAAUAAGUAAUAGAACUGCUGUAUGAUGUUAUUUCCAUUUGAGCCCUGAGACCAAAAGCUCCAUUCUCGGUCAUGCUUUAAUAUAUAAUAAAAUUUAAGGUGGAGUAAAGCCACUGGGUGAAACUGGGACAUGAUGGCUUCCAUUUUUAGGGCUUGGCUGGAGACUCUUGGUCUCUGUGCCACACCAUUUUGUCACAUGCUUCUCGGGCCAAGUUUCCCAGUGGUGGAAAAUGAAUACAAGUCCUUUUUCUUCUUAAUUUAGUUCCUGCGGUCAUGUCAUUUUGAUUUAAGAAAGAAUAUAAGGUUCUUCCUUAUAUUCUUUCUUAAAUCUUAAAUACUUGUUUAUAAAUCAGUUGUUUCACUUUGUGAUAAGGGCUGUCUUUGUUAAUGUGACUCUACAGGAUCACACCAUUUGACUAUUAGAGUUUCCAGCUGACCCAAAGAGGAAAAUAAGAAAGUGUCACAUGGAUAUCAUGAGUAUUGGAACUAAUCCAAGACAUUAAGGGUACAUUCAGACAUGGGAAUUGUUGCAUUAGUUUUCUUGGUUAUAAUGCUAGUGCUUCUUGUCCUGGUUUCUAACAUUUCUGUCAUACUGCAUUAUGGAACUGUGACUCUUUGAUCAAUAUACCGCCAUGUCAUCCUAAAAUUAAUUCCUAACAAUGGACAUGGUGUGACACAACAGUAGAUGCCACUGGACAUCUACAUUGACUUUAAGAAAGCCGACUUCAUAAAACUUAGGGAAGUGCUGGGUGAGAUCCCAUGGACAGUAAUACUAAAAGGAAAGGGAGUUCAUGAUGGCUGGGAGUUUGUUAAGAGGGAGAUAGUAAAAGCACAACUUCAGGCAAUACCAAUGAGACGGAAACAUGGAAGGUGCCUAAAGAAGCCAGGGUGGCUAUCUAAAGAACUUUUAACUGAGUUAAGAUUAAAAAGGAUGUGUACAAAAAAUGGAAAAGGGGGGAAACCACCAAAGAGGAAUUCAAACAAAUAGCCAGCACGUGUAGACACAAAGUCAGAAAAGCUAAAGCACAGAAUGAACUCAGGCUUGCUAGAGAGGUUAAAAGCAACAAAAAGGCUUUUAUGGGUAUGUUCAUAGCAAAAGGAAGAACAAAGAAACAGUGGGGUCACUCAGAGGAGAAGAUGGUGAAAUGCAAACAGGGGACACAGAAAGGGCUGAACUCCUCAAUGCCUUCUUUGCCUCAGUCUUCUCCGAUAAAGAAAACAAUGCCUGACCUGAAGAAUUUGGAGCAAAUGAUUCAGCAGAGGAAACACAGCCCAAAAUAACUAAGGAGAUAGUACAAGAAUACUUGGCUAGUUUAGAUGUAUUCAAAUCUCCAGGGCCAGAUGAACUGCAUCCAAGAGUAUUAAAAGAACUGGCAGAUGUGAUCUCAGAACCACUGGCAGUCAUCUUUGAGAAUUCCUGGAGAACAGGCGAAGUCCCGGCAGACUGGAGGAGGGCAAAUGUCGUCCCUAUUUUCAAAAAGGGGAAAAGAGAGGACCCAAAUAAUUACCGCCCAGUCAGUCUGACAUCAAUACCAGGGAAGAUUCUGGAGCAGAUCAUUAAGCAAACAGUCUGUGAGCACCUAGAAAGGAAUGCUGUGAUCCCCAAUAGUCAGCAUGGAUUUCUGAAAAAUAAGUCAUGUCAGACUAACCUGAUCUCCUUUUUGACAGAAUUACAAGCCUGGUAGAUGAAGGGAACGCAGUGGAUGUAGCCUACCUUGAUUUCAGCAAGGCAUUUGACAAGGUGCCCCAUGAUAUUCUUGUAAAGAAGCUGGUAAAAUGCGGUCUUGACUAUGCUACCACUCAGUGGAUUUGUAACUGGCUGACUGACCGAACCCAAAGGGUGCUCAUCAAUGGUUCCUCUUCAUCCUGGAGAAGAGUGACUAGUGGGGUGCCACAGGGUUCUGUCUUGGGCCCGGUCUUAUUCAACAUCUUUAUCAACGACUUGGAUGAUGGACUCAAGGGCAUCCUGAUCAAAUUUGCAGAUGACACCAAACUGGGAGGUGUGGCUAACACCCCAGAGGACAGGAUCACACUUCAAAACGACCUUGACAGAUUAGAGAACUGGGCAAAAACAAACAAGAUGAAUUUGAACAGGGAGAAAUGUAAAGUAUUGCACUUGGGCAAAAAAAUGAGAGGCACAAAUACAAGAUGGGUGAUACCUGGCUUGAGAGCAGUACAUGUGAAAAGGAUCUAGGAGUCUUGGUUGACCACAAACUUGACAUGAGCCAACAGUGUGACGCGACAGCUAAAAAGCCAAUGCAAUUCUGGGCUGCAUCAAUAGGAGUAUAGCAUCUAGAUCAAGGGAAGUAAUAGUGCCACUGUAUUCUGCUCUGGUCAGACCUCACCUGGAGUACUGUGUCCAGUUCUGGGCACCACAGUUCAAGAAGGACACUGACAAACUGGAACGUGUCCAGAGGAGGGCAACCAAAAUGGUCAAAGGCCUGGAAACGAUGCCUUAUGAGGAACGGCUAAGGGAGCUGGGCAUGUUUAGCCUGGAGAAGAGGAGGUUAAGGGGUGAUAUGAUAGCCAUGUUCAAAUAUAUAAAAGGAUGUCACAUAGAGGAGGGAGAAAGGUUGUUUUCUGCUGCUCCAGAGAAGAGGACACAGAGCAAUGGAUCUAAACUACAAGAAAGAAGAUUCCACCUAAACAUUAGGAAGAACUUCCUGACAGCAAGAGCUGUUCAACAGUGGAAUUUGCUGCCAAGGAGUGUGGUGGAGUCUCCUUCUUUGGAGGUCUUUAAGCAGAGGCAUGACAACCAUAUAUCAGGAGUGCUCUGAUGGUGUUUCCUGCUUGGCAGGGGGUUGGACUCGAUGGCCCUUGUGGUCUCUUCCAACUCUAUGAUUCUAUGAUUCUAUGACAUAUUGCCACUGUUUAUGUACAUGCAUGUUUCUGUUCCCCCUUGAUUCACUCAUGAAAAUGGCAGGAAAGAACUGCAUAUGCUGGAAUACUGCCUUAAAUUUCGUCACAUGACAUGAUGCAUGAAAACUCUAGGGAAAUUACAGCAGAAGCCUCCUGUGAUUUCCCCUGUUUAAAGGUAAAGGGACCCCUGACCAUUAGGUCCAGUAGUGGCCGACUCUGGGGUUGUGGCGCUCAUCUCGCUUUAUUGGCCGAGGGAGCCGGCGUACAGCUUCUGCGUCAUGUGGCCAGCAUGACUAAGCUGCUUCUGGCAAACCAGAGCAGCACACGGAAACGCCGUUGACCUUCCUGCCGGAGCGGUACCUAUUUAUCUACUUGCACUUUGAUGUGCUUUCGAACUGCUAGGUUGGCAGGAGCAGGGACCGAGCAACGGGAGCUCACCCCGUCACGGGGAUUCAAACCACCGACCUUCUGAUAGGCAAGUCCUAUGCUCUGUUGUUUAACUCACAGCGCCACCCGCAUCCCCUUUCCCCUGUUUACAGGGUUGCAAAUAGAUGUGUUGUUGUUUUUUCUUCUGGAAGCAAUUAACACAUAAAUGAGCACUAAAAUUUCACUAGAUUUCCACAAGUGUAUAGCUCAAGGUAAAGCUUAAUGAAGUUGGUUUUUUUUAAAGCCACUCUAUUCAGGCUUUCCUUCAGGCUUUCCCUGGUAGUUGAAAAGUUUUGUUUUUUUCAUAUUGCAUUGCUCAAUGCCUUGAUUAGUCAGUGCUUUUUUUCUAAAAAAAUGUUUAGGGGUACUCUCAUUUUGACUCAAGAAAACCACCAUUUUAUAGUUCAAAUCGGGGAAAAUAAAUACAGUAUGGACAAAAGUACAAAUCCUGAGUCCCCCCAGAAAAACACACUAGAUUUAGUAUUUUACUAUAUCUCUCAAGUGUUAGCUGUGAUUUUACAACUACAUUUCUUUUCUUGUAAAAGACCUUGACUAUUUUUUUUUAGUUAUAUGUCAUAUUAAUUCCAUAAAUGUAAAAAUAAUGGAGUGAUGAAGCUAAUACCAUAUCUAAAAUCAUGUAUAUUCUAAUUAUAAGUUUCUAAAAACCUUUAAACUGGACUCUUAAAAACAUGGAAUUGAUAAUAUGAAUAUACUUCCAGUAUUUAUCAUCAAUAUUAUGUGCAGCAGAAUUUAUUCCCUAUCAACCUGUACAGAGAUGGCCUGCUGCAUUUUUCAAGUGAGCCACAAAAAACAUGUAUUUUUCCUUCUUGCUUCUUUCUCUCCAACCCCCACCUAGUGCAGACACACAUAUGCUGCAAUGUGGGAUUUGAGAAAGUGUUUUUUUGAGCCUAUCAGGAACACAGAGUGGGUGUUCCCGCUACCGCCUCCUGUCCAUUUGGUUUUCUUCCAUCCUUUCUUCUCUGGCCUAAUUUCUGCUUUGAAUUUAAACUGCACACUUGCAGCCAGAUUUUCCGCACCAAGUACCGUCUAAUAUAAUUCUGUGGUUCUGCCAAUUCGAGUAUAGCACAUCACCAACUGAAACUCCCUCAACGCUGCCAGACUUCCAUCCAGCACCAAGCUAUUGCCAAGCCUUGACAGCGUUGGAACCUCAGUUAGGCCUCAACUCCUCUACAAAAUAUCACUGCUGAGAUACUGGAUCGUUCAUACUGUCUGCUACCAAUGUGCACAGUGCCAUCAUUUUAAUGCUUUACAAAUAUGGUCUUACGAAAUGGGUGUCUUUAAAUUUUAGCCAAGUUUGGGGGGGGGGUUUGUUCAAAUAUCUUAUAUAUCUCUUAGGUUAUCACCCUCUACAACUUUACGUGGGAAUAAGCUUUAUUGAAAGCACUGAGUCCUAUUUGCAUUGCAGAGUUCUAGUCACUUAUUUUAAGAAAAUGUUAUAAAGAUUUGACUAGCAAAUAUGCAGAGAACGAAAUAUGCAGAGAACAUAAUCCAAGCAAGAACAGAAUUGCUUAAAACUGUUUAAAACUCUAUACCUGUACCUGUAUUAAUAUUGCUUAAUUUACGCAUGAGUUUUGUCUCAUUUCAGUAUCUUCAAUAUUACACAUGGUCAACUGGAUUAGCUGCAGGGCUUUCAAGAUAAUAGUGCCAAAGCAUUGAAAUACCUUCCCUGUCGAAGAUUCAGCACAGGUUUGCUCUUUGAUAUAUUUUAGAUACAAAGUGAAACUGUUUUUGUUUUCACAGGCUUUUAAGGUUUAGUUCUGCUGCUGCAUUUAACAGGAUUUUAAAUUAAUUGCUUUUAAUUUGUUACACAGGCAGCAACCAUUUUGCACGUGACUGCUGACAUGCAUGUUGUUUUUUGGCCCUGGAAGGGGGCGAAACAGGGCAGAACAGGGCGGGGGCAGAACGGGCUUAUGUGCGACCACUGAUGCAAGCAAUGACCCCGGUGCAAAUGGGGAGCUGCCUAUACUCAUAAACUUUUUUGUGUGUGUGAAAAUACAGUUUCUUUUUAUUUUGCUGCACUGAACUUUUUUCUUGUGACUUGCUCUGUGACCACAAAAGCAAAGUAAAAAAAUAUUGACUAAAAUUGGGUUUUCCCCCCCAAUGUUAGGCAGAUCAGUGUACAUGAUUUAGUUGGAUAUUGCCCAAUAAAAAUCUACCAGAAACAAGCCCCAUUACCAGAUGCAGCUUAGUGAAAAGCUUUGGCUAGCAUAGCAUUGAAAGGACAGUGGAGAGAUGACAAGAUCUUAAAUAGUCUUCCCCCAAUCUUCUGCCCUCUAGGUGUUUUGGACUAUAGUUCUCAUCAAUCCCAGCCAGCAUGUCUAGCUAAUUUGCAUCUGAAGUUCAUGCCAAUGUCUUUCUCUUCCCUCCCAUUUGCAGGAAAUGUGUGUUGUCUUCCUAAAGAACGGAGCUAGGACUAAGAUGGAUCUUUGCAAUGCUCCAGUUCCUGCACCUUUGUACCUUACUAAUGAGAUCCCUGGCCUAUAAAGGGACUCUAAUGCAGGGCUGGGGAACAUUUGCUGGAUGGGGAACAUUUGCCAAAUGUUGCUGGACUGGGCCUGAUGGAAGUCCACAACUGGAGGGCCACAAAGAGGUAGCAGGGUACCGUGAAACAAGAGGUUAGCCAAUAACUCAGGGAAAGACUUGAACCUUAUCCAAGAAGGAACUGGAAAGUGAGUAAUAUGCAUUCACAGCAAAAGGUCACAAGAGAACAGCCAAUAUGAGUCCAGGCAUUGUCAUGGGAAGCUGAGUCACCUGCAACUUAAAAGUUUGUUUUUAAUAAUGUAAGG